This 162-nucleotide non-coding RNA is filed under the name unclassified sequences. The record is from Rfam.
UGCGUUAUUGAACCAGUUAAUUUUGGCACGCUGUACUUGAAAUGCACCGGCAUGGACGCCGGGGCAAGGCGUUAUGUGCCAUGGACGGCACAUAAAAGCCGGUUUAGUCGAGCAUAGAAAAACUAUGAGCAUAAUUCGUACAGCCUCUUAACAGCGUAGCGU